CCUACGGGAGGCAGCAGUGAGGAAUAUUGGUCAAUGGGCGAGAGCCUGAACCAGCCAAGUCGCGUGAAGGAUGACGGCCCUACGGGUUGUAAACUUCUUUUGUCAGGGAGCAAUUGAGUCCACGUGUGGGCUUAGCGAGAGUACCUGAAGAAAAAGCAUCGGCUAACUCCGUGCCAGCAGCCGCGGUAAUACGGAGGAUGCGAGCGUUAUCCGGAUUUAUUGGGUUUAAAGGGUGCGUAGGCGGACGCUUAAGUCAGCGGUAAAAUUGCGGGGCUCAACCUCGUCGAGCCGUUGAAACUGGGUGCCUUGAGUGGGCGAGAAGUACGCGGAAUGUAUGGUGUAGCGGUGAAAUGCUUAGAGAUCAUACAGAACACCGAUUGCGAAGGCAGCUUACCAAGCUACUUCUGACGUUGAGGCACGAAAGCGUGGGGAGCAAACAGGAUUAGAUACCCCAGUAGUC
RNAcentral lists this ribosomal RNA (460 nucleotides) under uncultured bacterium. Its description in RNAcentral is "partial 16S ribosomal RNA". It matches the Rfam family "Bacterial small subunit ribosomal RNA", at positions 338 to 795 of the family's 1533-position model. The record is from RNAcentral.